CGGGCCCACUCAUUUCGUAAUCAUCAGCCACACCUCGUACUCAAGCUUCGCCCUUCCACCAUACAACAACACAGCAGCGCACCGCAAUUGCUACAUCUUGCCACCAUCGAUGUACGCUUUUCAGGACGCAUUCAACUGGACCUUUUUUUCGACAAUGAUUUGUGAUUUCAAGAACGGUCUUAAAACGGCCAAGUUUGGGCUCGCCGUCUACGACAUCGAUGCUGACAGCGAGGCUAACCCGUGUCCCCAGGUAUUGUACACCGGACAGUACAAGAGGCUGAUGCUGCUGCAGAACAUCCACAACUUUAUCGAGAACUUCACCAACGUGGCGGAAUGCAAGCUCGUCACCUAGUCGGCAUUUAAGGACUCAACGCUAUGUGGCCCACAAUUGCCGGCCCAGUGGGACAUCUUCAUGGGCCAAGGCGCCUGUCGUAGAUGGAGAGUUUCUUGAACCUACGAGUGUGGCUGUGCUACUGUGAAGUGACUUUGCAGUGCUUUUCUUGUUUUAUGCAUGAUUUUGUUUCAAACCACCAAAUAUUAUAGUUCGAGCAUAGCAUAAUCGAGCCUCUUGCUGCAUAACUUGAGAAAGGAGACUUUAACAUAACUGUAAAUUGACAAGUUGCAUAUUGAUUCAUCGUACACGUGAGGAUAGAAAUUUUGACUUGACCAUAUGAUGUUACAUGUUUACCGCCGUUCACUGAAUCUUGUUCCUUGCGUUUCAUAACUUUAUUUGUACCGCUUCGCCUGCGCCUAUUUAUGGCCCCCGUGAAGGAAAGCGGUGGCGCGCGCUGUUUUCGGUAGACUGGGAGAUAAUUGAUAUCUUGCAUGUCAUAGCAAAUGGGAUGUUAAACACAGGGGUUGUAUGCCA
Molecule: long non-coding RNA, 868 nt
Filed under: Dermacentor andersoni
Lineage: Eukaryota; Metazoa; Arthropoda; Arachnida; Ixodida; Ixodidae
Description: uncharacterized LOC126529335
Source: RNAcentral